This 77-nucleotide transfer RNA is filed under the name Campylobacter jejuni. RNAcentral's name for it is "tRNA-His". It matches the Rfam family "tRNA". From Rfam's summary of the family: Transfer RNA (tRNA) molecules are approximately 80 nucleotides in length. Lineage: Bacteria; Pseudomonadati; Campylobacterota; Epsilonproteobacteria; Campylobacterales; Campylobacteraceae. The record is from RNAcentral.
GUGAGUGUUGCUCAGUCGUUUAGAGCAUCAGAUUGUGGUCCUGAGGGUCGUCGUUUCAACUCCCAUCACUCACACGA